GCUCAGUAACACGUGGAUAACCUGCCCUAUCGUCUGGAAUAACCUCGGGAAACUGAGAAUAAGGCCGGAUAGUUCACAAAGCCUGGAACGGUUUGUGAAUCAAGAUAGGAUGGGUCUGCGGCGUAUCAGGUAGUAGGGGGUGUAAAGGACCCCCUAGCCUUUGACGCGUACGGGUGUUGGGAGACAUAGCCCGGAGAUGGAUUCUGAGACACGAAUCCAGACCCUACGGGGUGCAGCAGGCGCGAAAACUUCACACUGCAGGAAACUGUGAUGAGGGAACUCCAAGUGUGUGCACUAUGUGUACACUUUUAUGAACUUUUAAUCGGUUCAGGAAUAAGGGCUGGGAAAGACCGGUGCCAGCCGCCGCGGUAAUACCGGCAGCUCAAGUGGUCGUCGCUUUUAUUGGGCCUAAAACGUCCGUAGCCUGUUUGGUAAAUCUGUGGGUAAAUCAACUCGCUCAACGAGUUGAAUUCUGCAGAGACUGCCAGACUAGGGACCGGGAGAGGUGUGGGGUACUCGAGGGGUAGGGGUAAAAUCCUGUCAUCCUUCGAGGACCACCAGUUGCGAAGGCGCCACACUGGAACGGAUCCGACGGUCAGGACGAAGCCUAGGGCACGAACCGGAUUAGAUACCCGGGUAGUCCUAGGUGUAACGCUGUGAACUUGGUGUCGGGGGUCGCAGGGUCCCCGGGUGCCGGAUGAAGAUGUAGUCACUGCUGGGGAGUACGUCGCAGCUGAACUCAAAG
This 745-nucleotide ribosomal RNA is filed under the name uncultured archaeon. Its description in RNAcentral is "bacterial SSU rRNA". It matches the Rfam family "Archaeal small subunit ribosomal RNA", at positions 88 to 861 of the family's 1478-position model. The record is from RNAcentral.